RNAcentral lists this ribosomal RNA (792 nucleotides) under uncultured crenarchaeote. Its description in RNAcentral is "bacterial SSU rRNA". It matches the Rfam family "Archaeal small subunit ribosomal RNA", at positions 85 to 879 of the family's 1478-position model. The record is from RNAcentral. Lineage: Archaea; Thermoproteati; Thermoproteota.
ACGGCUCAGUAACACGUAGUCAACAUGCCCAAAGGACGUGGAUAACCUCGGGAAACUGAGGAUAAACCACGAUAGGCCAAGGUUUCUGGAAUGAGCCAUGGCCGAAAUCUAUAUGGCCUUUGGAUUGGACUGCGGCCGAUCAGGCUGUUGGUGAGGUAAUGGCCCACCAAACCUGUAACCGGUACGGGCUUUGAGAGAAGUAGCCCGGAGAUGGGCACUGAGACAAGGGCCCAGGCCCUAUGGGGCGCAGCAGGCGCGAAACCUCUGCAAUAGGCGAAAGCCUGACAGGGUUACUCUGAGUGAUGCCCGCUAAGGGUAUCUUUUGGCACCUCUAAAAAUGGUGCAGAAUAAGGGGUGGGCAAGUCUGGUGUCAGCCGCCGCGGUAAUACCAGCACCCCGAGUUGUCGGGACGAUUAUUGGGCCUAAAGCAUCCGUAGCCUGUUCUACAAGUCCUCCGUUAAAUCCACCUGCUCAACAGAUGGGCUGCGGGGGAUACUAUAGGGCUAGGAGGCGGGAGAGGCAAACGGUACUCAGUGGGUAGGGGUAAAAUCCAUUGAUCUACUGAGGACCACCAGUGGCGAAGGCGGUUUGCCAGAACGCGCUCGACGGUGAGGGAUGAAAGCUGGGGGAGCAAACCGGAUUAGAUACCCGGGUAGUCCCAGCUGUAAACGAUGCAGACUCGGUGGAUGGGUUGGCUUCGAGCCAACCCAGUGCCGCAGGGAAGCCGUUAAGUCUGCCGCCUGGGGAGUACGGUCGCAAGACUGAAACUUAAAGGAAUUGGCGGGGGAGCAC